This 293-nucleotide ribosomal RNA is filed under the name uncultured bacterium. Its description in RNAcentral is "partial 16S ribosomal RNA". It matches the Rfam family "Bacterial small subunit ribosomal RNA", at positions 775 to 1067 of the family's 1533-position model. The record is from RNAcentral.
GGAUUAGAUACCCUGGUAGUCUUUGCCGUAAACGAUGCAUACUUGGUGUAGUUGGUCUCAAUCCCGACUGUACCGUAGCUAACGCGUUAAGUAUGCCACCUGGGGAGUACGCUCGCAAGAGUGAAACUCAAAAGAAUUGACGGGGGCCCGCACAAGCAGUGGAGCAUGUGGUUUAAUUCGAUGCAACGCGCAGAACCUUACCCAGACUUGACAUCUUGAGGACCGCAUCAGAAAUGAUGCUUCUCGCAAGAGCCUCUUGACAGGUGCUGCAUGGCUGUCGUCAGCUCGUGCCG